This 517-nucleotide ribosomal RNA is filed under the name uncultured bacterium. Its description in RNAcentral is "bacterial SSU rRNA". It matches the Rfam family "Bacterial small subunit ribosomal RNA", at positions 903 to 1397 of the family's 1533-position model. The record is from RNAcentral.
AAAGGAAUAGACGGGGACCCGCACAACCGGUGGAGCGUGUGGUUCAAUUCGAUACAAAGCGAAAGACCUCACCAGGUUUUGACAUGCUACCGUUUUAACCCUGUGGAAACACGGGGCUAUCCGCAAGGAUGGUAGCACAGCAGCUGCAUGGCUGUCGUCAGCUCGUGCCGUGGGGUGUUCCCUUAAGUGGGAGAACGAGCGCAACCCGUGUCCAAUGUUAUAUGUUUCAUUGGAGACCGCCCUCUCUCUGAGCAAAUGAAUUUUCAUUUGUUGAGAGAGAGGGAGGAAGGAACGGACGACGUCAAGUCAGCACGGCGCUUAUAACCUGGGUAACACACACCCUACAAUGGCGAAUAACAAUGGGACGCAAGGCAGUAAUGUCAAGCAAAUCCCCACUAAAUUUCGCCUCAGUUCAGAUUGAGGGCUGCAACCCGCCCUCAUGAAGUCGGAAUCGGUAGUAAUCGCAGAUCAGCAGGCUGCGGUGAAUACGUUCUCGGGUCUUGUACACACCGCCCGU